CAAAGCAUAUGCAUUUAUGGAGAUAUGUAACCAAACGAAGACAUUUAACAAGUAGAAAAUAUUAAGUUUUAAGUCAAAGCUUUAUAUGGAGUAGGCCUGAUGCUCAAUUUUUCUGCUAAGUUUCAUGUAAGUAGUCAAACACAUUGAUAAAUCCAUAUCAGUGUUUAAAGUUUUAAUGAAUGGAUAAGUUAUUGUAAUAAAUACUAUCAUCAACUGAAAAUGGCAUGGCAAAACGAAGCUUAAACCUCAAUACAAUCUACUUCCAGUACGUUUUUCAGUAGAAGUCAUGAAUUAAGUUGAUUUUUUCAGCUUAACACUGUACUGUAAAUUUGUCGAUUAGCAUACCUACAUUCUGCAUCUGUUUU
Molecule: non-coding RNA, 365 nt
Organism: Schizosaccharomyces pombe (fission yeast)
Lineage: Eukaryota; Fungi; Ascomycota; Schizosaccharomycetes; Schizosaccharomycetales; Schizosaccharomycetaceae
Source: the annotation of a GenBank genome assembly